Bos indicus x Bos taurus (hybrid cattle) is the source of this 383-nucleotide long non-coding RNA. NCBI's taxonomy places the organism in Eukaryota, Metazoa, Chordata, Mammalia, Artiodactyla, Bovidae. The record is from Ensembl.
AGUAUUCUCUCCUACUGCUGUAAGUUCUACUAAAUGAAAUGUAACUUUUGUUUGUUUAAAGGUUUGCUGAUGAUAUUUUGAGAAGUUCAACAACCUGGAUGUCCUACCAAGAUCCUGUUGAUAGUUCUGUGGCUCCUGAAGCCCAGGACCCUUAAUUCAGAAACAGGGAAAACAACUGAGGCCUUCGGUGAUGGGGAUACCAUGUUUUAGGAAAAGUACAAAAUGAAGAGUAGUCUCUCUGGAAUAUGAAGAACAAGAUGGGAAGGACUGAAGACACUAAGGUAAACCAUUAGUUUUCCCAGCUAAGCCUCUAUUUCAGUUCUACAUUUUCAAGGCAAAGUGCUGUGUGCCUUUCUUUCCUUUGAUUAUUGAACUGUGAUCCU